AAAGCUCGUUAAGACUAGAUGGUGUAUCCCUACAUAGCGGGUGGGACCCACGGCGAAUGGUUCAUCAAGUCUUCAAAAAAGAAUAUAUACGAUUGCAUUGCAUAUACUAACGGAUGCGAUCAUGCCAGCACUAAUGCACCGGAUCCCAUCAGAACUCCGCAGUCAAGCGUGCUUGGGCGAGAGUAGUACUAGGAUGGGUGACCUCCCGGGAAGUCCUCGUGUUGCAUCCCUCUU
RNAcentral lists this ribosomal RNA (234 nucleotides) under Arabidopsis thaliana (thale cress). The record is from RNAcentral. Lineage: Eukaryota; Viridiplantae; Streptophyta; Magnoliopsida; Brassicales; Brassicaceae.